UAACACCAGAGCCACAAGUGGUAACCAUGUUUAUUGGGUCUAAAGCAUCUGUAGCCGGUUUGAUAAGUUUUUCGUGAAAUCGUUUAGCUCAACUGAACGGCGUGCGAGAAAUACUGUUAGACUUGGAACCGGGAGGAGGUAGGAGUAUUUCAAGGGGAGCGGUAGAAUGCUAUAAUCCUUGGAGGACUACCUGUGGCGAAGGCGCCUACCUAGAACGGCUUCGACGGUGAGAGAUGAAAGCUGGGGGAGCGAUCUGGAUUAGAUACCCAAGUAGUCCUAGCUGUAAACUCUGCGAGCUAUGUGUUGCAUGUUCUUUGUGGACAUGCAGUGCCUAAGCGAAGGUGUUAAGCUCGCCACCUGGGAAGUAUGGCCGCAAGACUG
This 381-nucleotide ribosomal RNA is filed under the name uncultured Halobacteria archaeon. RNAcentral's name for it is "bacterial SSU rRNA". It matches the Rfam family "Archaeal small subunit ribosomal RNA", at positions 471 to 851 of the family's 1478-position model. Lineage: Archaea; Methanobacteriati; Methanobacteriota; Halobacteria. The record is from RNAcentral.